GACGAACGCUGGCGGCGUGCUUAACACAUGCAAGUCGAACGGGAAGGCCCUGCUUUUGUGGGGUGCUCGAGCGGCGAACGGGUGAGUAACACGUGAGUAACCUGCCCUUGACUUUGGGAUAACUUCAGGAAACUGGGGCUAAUACCGGAUAGGAGCUCCUGCUGCAUGGUGGGGGUUGGAAAGUUUCGGCGGUUGGGGAUGGACUCGCGGCUUAUCAGCUUGUUGGUGGGGUAGUGGCUUACCAAGGCUUUGACGGGUAGCCGGCCUGAGAGGGUGACCGGCCACAUUGGGACUGAGAUACGGCCCAGACUCCUACGGGAGGCAGCAGUGGGGAAUAUUGCACAAUGGGCGGAAGCCUGAUGCAGCAACGCCGCGUGCGGGAUGACGGCCUUCGGGUUGUAAACCGCUUUCGCCUGUGACGAAGCGUGAGUGACGGUAAUGGGUAAAGAAGCACCGGCUAACUACGUG
RNAcentral lists this ribosomal RNA (468 nucleotides) under uncultured bacterium. RNAcentral describes it as "partial 16S ribosomal RNA". It matches the Rfam family "Bacterial small subunit ribosomal RNA", at positions 28 to 507 of the family's 1533-position model. The record is from RNAcentral.